Molecule: long non-coding RNA, 1264 nt
Filed under: Piliocolobus tephrosceles (Ugandan red Colobus)
Lineage: Eukaryota; Metazoa; Chordata; Mammalia; Primates; Cercopithecidae
Description: lncRNA (ENSPTEG00000006661.1)
Source: RNAcentral
AAAGACAAAAUAGAAAAGAAAUUGGAUAACAACAAAACAAAUAUGUGCUUACAUAUAAAAAGUUCUGUUAGCAACAGAAGUAGUAGGGACAACAGCAGCAGCAGUUUUGUCACCACUACCACUGCUCUUUCUGAUAAAAGUAAAGUAAGUGCCGUACGAAAAAAAAUGAAUAAAGAUAACAAUAGUGUUAUCUCUUCUACCGUACAUGAAAAAAAGGAAAGCAUAAUUCAUAAUAAAAAUAGUAAAAAUAAUAAUAAUAAUAAUAAUAAUAACAAUAAUAACAAUAAUAGCAAUAAUAACAAUAAUAACAAUAAUAACAAUAAUAACAAUAAUAACANNNNNNNNNNUAAUAACAAUAAUAACAAUAAUAACAAUAAUAACAAUAAUAACAAUAUGUUGUCAAGUUAUACUGAUAAACAUAUUCUUGAAAAUGUAAGAAAAAAAAACGAUACCAAUUUAAAAGUAGAUAUAAAAAAAAGUAAAAAUUGUCAGAAUGUUAAAGAAGGAAGAGAUAAUGUACAAAUGAAAUUGAAAAAUAAUAAACACGCAGCAGGCGAAGGGGAAGGAGAUAAAGAAGAAGGCACAAAUAUAAUAAAAGAAAAAAAAAAGAAUACUAUCACGGGCACAAAAAAGGUAAAAACUGAAGAAGGCGUUGUAAAAGUAAAGGGGCAAGAUCAAAAAUUAGUUAUAAUUGAUAGUGACAUAACUAAUAAAACUUAUGGUGAUAAUGGUACAUACGAUGAUAAAAACGUAUAUAAUAUAAAAAAUAAAAAUAAAAUAAACGAUUCAUCAUAUAAUAAAAUACAAAAUAUAUCUGAUAUUAACAUUGAAAAAGAAAACGUUAUACAAAAAAAACAAUUAGAAAAGCAACAAAUACAUAUUGAUGAGAUUCUAAGAAUUAAGGCAAAUAACAGACAUCUAACUAUUAAAAGGGCAAUAGAAAUAUAUAUGAGACACCUGAAAAAAAAUAAUAAACGUGAUACUGUUAACCCUCAACAUUUAUACGAUAUGAUGAAUUAUUAUUUGAAUGAAAAAAGAAAAGAAGAAAAAGAAAACGCCAAAAAUGAAAAUAAAAAUGAUACUUAUGAUAUAUUAUCAAAUAAAAAAAAAGAAUCUUUAGAUAAAAACGAAGCAGAACAGAUAAAUAAAUGUUAUGAAGAUAAAGUAGAAAAUAGCGAAAUUGCAAAAGACGAAAUUAAAAAAACUGAAAGUAUUAAUAGUAAUAUUAAAGGAAACAAAAAAAAAAAAAAAAAACAUUUUUUGG